RNAcentral lists this non-coding RNA (148 nucleotides) under Gorilla gorilla gorilla (western lowland gorilla). The record is from Rfam by way of RNAcentral. Lineage: Eukaryota; Metazoa; Chordata; Mammalia; Primates; Hominidae.
GCCGGGCAUUGUGGCGGGUGCCUGUAGUCCCAGCUACUCAGGAGGCUGAGGCAGGAGAAUCGCUUGAACCCAGGAGGCAGAGGUUGCAGUGAGCCAAGAUUGCACCACUGCACUCCAGCCUGGGUGACAGAGCAAGACUCUGUCUCAA